This 414-nucleotide ribosomal RNA is filed under the name Triticum aestivum (bread wheat). Its description in RNAcentral is "partial small subunit ribosomal RNA". Lineage: Eukaryota; Viridiplantae; Streptophyta; Magnoliopsida; Poales; Poaceae. The record is from RNAcentral.
AUGCAAGGCCUCACGGCAUCUUGCAAGAUCGUGCUCGUGAUGUUUCUGCUCGGCUUAGGCUUGGCAGGAGCCACCGCCGACAGCCGUAGGAGGCACAUCUCCAGCAGCCCUGACGAGCCCUGCAAGAAGAUGACGCUCUACCUCCACGACAUCCUCUACAACGGUGUCAACAACACCGCCAACGCGACCGCGGCGCCGGUCACCAAGCCGACGGACCUGAGCACAACGCACUGGAGCAACGGCACCUUCUUCGGCAUGCUGGUGGUGUUCGACGACCCGGUGACGGAGGGGACGGCGCUGCCCGUCGGGGACGAGGAGCCGGCUGCGCGCGCGCAGGGGUUCUACUUCUACGACAAGAAGGAGUCGUACAGCGGCUGGUUCUCCUUCUCGCUCGUGUUCAACUCAAAGGCAUGA